UACGUAGGGUCCGAGCGUUGUCCGGAAUUAUUGGGCGUAAAGGGCUCGUAGGCGGUUUGUCACGUCGGGAGUGAAAACUUACAGCUUAACUGUGAGCGUGCUUCCGAUACGGGCAGACUUGAGGUAUUCAGGGGAGAACGGAAUUCCUGGUGUAGCGGUGAAAUGCGCAGAUAUCAGGAGGAACACCGGUGGCGAAGGCGGUUCUCUGGGAAUAUCCUGACGCUGAGGAGCGAAAGUGUGGGGAGCGAACAGG
Molecule: ribosomal RNA, 253 nt
Filed under: uncultured bacterium
Lineage: Bacteria
Description: partial 16S ribosomal RNA
Rfam family: Bacterial small subunit ribosomal RNA
Source: RNAcentral